This 85-nucleotide transfer RNA is filed under the name Massilia cavernae. Its description in RNAcentral is "Massilia sp. K1S02-61 tRNA-Leu". It matches the Rfam family "tRNA". From Rfam's summary of the family: Transfer RNA (tRNA) molecules are approximately 80 nucleotides in length. RNAcentral also lists the same sequence under 4 other names. The record is from RNAcentral. Lineage: Bacteria; Pseudomonadati; Pseudomonadota; Betaproteobacteria; Burkholderiales; Oxalobacteraceae.
GCCUUGGUGGUGGAACUGGUAGACACAGCAGACUCAAAAUCUGCCGCUGAAAGGCGUGCCGGUUCGAUUCCGGCCCGAGGCACCA